This 237-nucleotide long non-coding RNA is filed under the name Lathyrus oleraceus (garden pea). RNAcentral describes it as "Pisum sativum (pea) long non-coding RNA (PSAT_LNC012913)". The record is from RNAcentral. Lineage: Eukaryota; Viridiplantae; Streptophyta; Magnoliopsida; Fabales; Fabaceae.
AAAAACUUAUUUUUGAAAAGGAUUAAUUUGAGUUGUUUUUGGUUUUUUACCAAUUAACAAAAGCAAAAUAAACAUACAUGACAAAUACACAACCCAACUGAGACCCUAAAUCUUGAUCCACUAUUUUCAUAUCGAUUACAUUGGGAGAUAUAAGGAUAAGCCUAAAAUUAAAAAACAAAUAAGGGAAUGGGGUUACAUUUGAAAUAAUAAUGGAUAAUAAAAGAAAAUGUGAAAAAU